AGUCAGUGGGCUGGGGAAGGCAGAUCCAACCUCAAUCUGGUGUGCCAUAUAAUAAGCUGCCAAUGAAUAUAAAGCAGGCAGAAAAACAUAAGAAGGUGAGACUGGCCUAGCCUCCCAGCCUACAUCUUUCUCCCAUGCUGAAUGCUUCCUGUCCUCAAACAUCAGACUCUAAGUUCUUUAGUUUUGAGACUCGGACUGGCUUCCUUGCUCCUCAAGCUUGCAGACAGCCUAUGGUGGGACCUUGUGAUCAUGUUCUUAACUCUGUCACCCAGGCUGGAGGGCAGUGGUGUGACCACAGCCACUGCAGGCUCGACCUCUGGGACUCAGGUGAUCCUCCCAUCUCAUCCUCCCAAGUAGCUGGGACUACAGGUUGCCUCUUCCAGAUCCCUUUUGAUCUAUUUUCAGCUAUGGAUUCUUGAGAAUCAAGACUAAGCAGCCUGAAAUGAAGGAGUAAGAGUAUCACCUAACAGUGAUUUUGCUGCCAUAGUAGCUGUUUGUAUACUGGCCAUAUGCCUAGGUAAAAUGAGGCCAGAUCACUCUAAGAGUUUUCUAUCAGAGUUGGUGGUGAACUACUGCUCACUGAUAAUGACGAGAAACCCCAGCUGAGGAGGCAAAUACACUCAAGGAAAGUAAUAGUUUCCAAAUGCCUGGCAGUGCCAGGAAGGGGCCAUGUCCGUGGACCACUAUGUAAGGAUAUCUCAGUCUCUAGUCAAGCAUGGUUUAUGGUGCCAAAUAAGUGCCAGGUGAACUCACUACAUCUGACAAAAUCUCAAGGAACCAAGUUUACCAGAUAAUAUUUAUGAUUAUGUGAAAAAGACUGAGGAAAUCACUCUAGUGAUCCAUCAUACAGCACCUCCAGUUCCAAAGAAUACUGACUUACUUCAGCUGUACUGGUCUGGAGCUGCACAUUCUUUUCAGACAACUCUUGUUCCAGUGACUCUUCUCCUGUAACAGAGCCUCCUUCUUAGAAACUAUGGCCUCCCGUUUC
Molecule: non-coding RNA, 988 nt
Filed under: Pongo abelii (Sumatran orangutan)
Lineage: Eukaryota; Metazoa; Chordata; Mammalia; Primates; Hominidae
Source: RNAcentral